Molecule: ribosomal RNA, 497 nt
Filed under: uncultured bacterium
Lineage: Bacteria
Description: partial 16S ribosomal RNA
Rfam family: Bacterial small subunit ribosomal RNA
Source: RNAcentral
GAUGAACGCUGGCGGCGUGCCUAAUACAUGCAAGUCGAGCGAACAGACGAGGAGCUUGCUCCUCUGACGUUAGCGGCGGACGGGUGAGUAACACGUGGAUAACCUACCUAUAAGACUGGGAUAACUUCGGGACACCGGAGCUAAUACCGGAUAAUAUAUUGAACCGCAUGGUUCAAUAGUGAAAGACGGCUUUGCUGUCACUUAUAGAUGGAUCCGCGCUGCAUUAGCUAGUUGGUAAGGUAACGGCUUACCAAGGCAACGAUGCGUAGCCGACCUGAGAGGGUGAUCGGCCACACUGGAACUGAGACACGGUCCAGGCUCCUACGGGAGGCAGCAGUAGGGAAUCUUCCGCAAUGGGCGAAAGCCUGACGGAGCAACGCCGCGUGAGUGAUGAAGGUCUUCGGAUCGUAAAACUCUGUUAUUAGGGAAGAACAAAUGUGGAAGUAAAUAUGCACGUCUUGACGGUACCUAAUCAGAAAGCCACGGCUAACUACGUG